RNAcentral lists this long non-coding RNA (341 nucleotides) under Mytilus galloprovincialis (Mediterranean mussel). Lineage: Eukaryota; Metazoa; Mollusca; Bivalvia; Mytilida; Mytilidae. The record is from RNAcentral.
AUAAAACUUUCUUAUAUCAACGCCUACCUAUAUAUAUAUAUUUUUUUUAAUUCAAAUUUAUUCAGAUUGGGCCACUUUAUCUUUAUUGAAAGUAUAACAAAAAGUUUAAUUGCAGAACUUUGAUUUUUUUCACGAUAAUAGCCCGAAAAUAGAUUAAAAUUGACGAAAAAUGGGAAAAUCAUCAAAAUUGGGAACUUUCAAACGGCCGUAGCAAAAAAAAAAAAAAAAAAAAAGAAGUGCACCACCAUGUGAUUUUUUUCUUCACCAAUUAUUUUUUACAGUCAUAUAAACCCAAAAAUCAGGUUUAGAAAAAAAGUUUAAUUCUAGAAAUUUUUGGCUCC